GGCGCGGUCGGCCGUUUGGUCUGUACUGCGUUGUCUUGACUUCCUGAUGAAGACAUGCUCUUGGUUAACGCUGAUACAUGGAGUCAUCGUGGUUACUUUGAAAAAAUUAGAGUGUUCAAAGCGGGCUUACGCUUGAAUAUAUUAGCAUGGAAUAACACUAUAGGACUCCUGUCCUAUCUCGUUGGUCUCGGGAUGGGAGUAAUGAUUAAGAGGAACAGUUGGGGGCAUUCGUAUUCCAUUGUCAGAGGUGAAAUUCUUGGAUUUAUGAAAGACGAACUUCUGCGAAAGCAUUUGCCAAGGAUGUUUUCAUUAAUCAAGAACGAAAGUUGGGGGCUCGAAGAUGAUUAGAUACCAUCCUAGUCUCAACCAUAAACGAUGCCGACUAGGGAUUGGUGGAUGUUAAUUGAUGACUUCACCAGCACCUUAUGAGAAAUCAAAGUUUUUGGGUUCCGGGGGGAGUAUGGUCGC
This 468-nucleotide ribosomal RNA is filed under the name uncultured marine eukaryote. RNAcentral describes it as "SSU rRNA". It matches the Rfam family "Eukaryotic small subunit ribosomal RNA", at positions 660 to 1132 of the family's 1831-position model. The record is from RNAcentral.